This 26-nucleotide small RNA is filed under the name Bombyx mori (domestic silkworm). Its description in RNAcentral is "ovarian small RNA-14658". The record is from RNAcentral. Lineage: Eukaryota; Metazoa; Arthropoda; Insecta; Lepidoptera; Bombycidae.
CUCAGCGUCAAAAAUGUACGAGUCAA